GGCUCACCUGGCUGUCACCGCCGUCACGUCUGCCAUUGGUACGGUCCUGAAGCUCAGCACUGCAAUCAAUAUCCUCAAUCACAAUAAUGGACCUAUCAGCAGUGGACAACAGCCAUUGUUCUAAGCGUCGAGUUAUUCCGAACACUGGUAAGCUCCAAAUCAUAAAUAUUAAACUUCAAAUAAUCGGCCAUGGCCGCCACCAAGCUCGAUUUCCCUGUUCCUGGUGGCCCAUAAAGAAGGUACCCUCUUUUCCAAGCCUUCCCAAUUCUCUUAUAAAAUUCCCUUCUCCUCACAAACCUAUCCAAAUCAUCCAUCAAUUCCUUCUUCUUCUUCAAAUCCAUAGCCAAAUUCCCAAAGCUACAACUAUUCUGCAAAACAAUCGAAUCCUCAUUCGCAUGUCUUAUCAUUAGCGCAUAAAGCUUCACCACUCUGUUUUCUUCCUCUAUCGCUUUUGCUCUUUCCAUGAUGAACGGAAGGUAAAUCUUCAUUACCGAGUCUUUAUUCUUCUUGUUGAAGCUCAUUUGGUAAUGCCGUUUUUCAAAUGUUUCCGUUGUUUGAGCAGGAAUAUCAGAAUCGAAAUUCAUGAUCUGUUUUUCUGUAGAAAUCAUUUCCCAGGCGAUUUCGAUCCCUUCGAAUUCUUCAAUUAGUAAUUCGCCUUUGUUGAUUUUGAACGUUACAUUGGUUUCACCUGGAGCCUUGAAAGCCUUGAGAUUCUUAAGAGAUCGGGAGAUUUUUGUAGAGAGGUACGUUUCGGAUGCUGUGUAAAGCUCGUUAAUGGCGAUUCCGUUGUUCUCUUCGAUAAUGAUAAGGAUUUGAGACGAGAUUGAACUGAAAAUGGGAGUUGAAUUUGAAGGAGAUUUGGUCACGGAGUUUUUGGGGGAUGAUACGGGAGAUGAUUGAUUGGGUUUCGGAGAUCAAUGUCCGAACCACCAUUGUAGAAGCGGCGAAGGAAGUGUAAACUGUGAAAACAGAGGAUGUUGAUGGCAUUUUAGUUAGAAACG
Molecule: long non-coding RNA, 1001 nt
Filed under: Cucumis sativus (cucumber)
Lineage: Eukaryota; Viridiplantae; Streptophyta; Magnoliopsida; Cucurbitales; Cucurbitaceae
Description: long non-coding RNA (CSAT_LNC002059)
Source: RNAcentral